This 2035-nucleotide long non-coding RNA is filed under the name Canis lupus familiaris (dog). Its description in RNAcentral is "lncRNA (ENSCAFG00030001307.1)". The record is from RNAcentral. Lineage: Eukaryota; Metazoa; Chordata; Mammalia; Carnivora; Canidae.
AUGUAUGGGAACUCUUGUACUGUUUUUUACAACUCGACUAUAUGUCUAAAAUUAUCUCAAGGUAAAAAGUCAAGAAGAAAAAAGCCAAGACUUUCUCGAGAUCGCACUGGACCAGUCACACCUCAACUUGGGCUGUGUCUCCCGUCCGAAGCAAGUGUUGGCCGUCGAUCUAACGCAGUGUGUGGCCCCCAGCCCAGCAGCAGCCGCAGUACAACCUGGGAACGUGGACAUAUAAUGAAGCUGUCCUUGGAUUUAAGUCAUUACAGAAUGACCCGCCAACAGGAGCUGUGCAUCAAGUAUGGACCACCUUCCUCAAAAUUAUGAGAAUCACCUAGAGAGAUUUAUUUAUGCAGAUUUUCAUCCUUUUCCCAGACCUUCUCAAUCAGAAUCUCUACAGACCAGGGAGGAUGCAUUUCCACCAUCCUCCCACAAAAAUCCAUUUUUCUGUAUAUUCACAUUUGAGAUGCACUGCUUUGUGGGAGGAGGUGGGAGUCGAAGACACGAGAUAGCCUUAAAGAAGAUGCAGAAAAAAAAAUAAAAAUAAUAAAAAAAUAAAAAAUAAAAAAGAAGAUGCAAGACCUGCCUCACAUUUAGUGAGAAGGAUCUCUGGACACCUGAGAUAAUUACAGCAUCGCUUUGUGCAUCCAGGUUGGUUAGGCUGGUGGUCGCAGAGAUGAUCCAAAACCUGCAGGGUGUGCCUGUUCCCCACGAUUUAUUCUGGGCUUUCGCUGACCUGUGCAUGAACCUGGGCACCACCCCACCCACUUGUCUGAGCAUUCACCUCUCCUUUUUUUUUUUUAGAUUUUAUUUAUUUGAGGGUGGGGGGAUAGGGUCACUGAGUGACAGGCACUGAGGAGGACACUUGAUGGGAUGAGUGGUGGGUGUUAGACUGUAUGUUGGUGAAUUGAAUUUAAAUUUUUAAAAAAUGUUUUUAAAAAGGACUUAUUUAUUUGAGAGAGAGAGAGAGAGAGAGAGAGGAGAGAGUAGCGUGCAUGAGCAGGGUAAAAGGCAGAGGGAAAGGAGAAGCAGGCUCCCCACUGAGGGCAGAGCCCAACACAGGGACUCAGUCCCAGGACCCCGGGAUCAUGACCUGAGCUGAAGGCAGACGCUUAACCGACCAAGCCACCCAGGCGCCCCUCACCUCUGCUUUCUCACAGACUCUUGUAAGUCAGUUCAAAUGUCAAUAAAUAUCAAAGCCUGCCCUGGGUGAGCUGUUUGAAAGUACAGAACAAAUCUCAGGGCAGUCCUCGACUUCAGGAACACAGUGAACACUGCAAGAGCACAUUCUAUGGCUGAGGGCUGAAACGAACUAUAAAAAAAUUUCCAGGGCAGCCCGGGUGGCUCAGCAGUUUAGCACCGCCUGCAGCCCGGGGUGUGAUCCUGGAGACCUGGGAUCAAGUCCCGCAUCGGGCUCCCUGCAUGGAGCCUGCUUCUCCCUCUGCCUGUGUCUCUGCGUCUCUAUCUCUGCAUCUCUCAUGAAUAAAUAAAUAUAAAUCAAUCAAUCAAUCUAUCAAUCUUUUAAAAAAAUAAAAUAAAAAUAUUUCCAGGGUGAUCAGGAAGGAAGGGGUGGAAGUGUCUGUGGACUGGGAAAGUCAGGGAGGCCUGCAUGGAAGAGGCUGGCUGGGAGCUAAGACUGGGAGAAUGGAUACAAGAAUUAAAAAGCUCCCUGCUGAAGGCCUCGGUAGGCAAGAAAGGAAGAAGGAAGAUCAAGGAUUCCAAGGAAUGGGGUUGGUGUCUUCCAUUAGAUAUCGAGUGUUUGUGAGCACCUCCCACACCCGAGGGCAGUCAGCAGUGAGAAGCAAGGCCAGUGGGGAGGGGGGGCACAGACUGCUUGCUCCUAGUUUUCUGGAAUUCUGCUUCUCCCUCCUCUAAGGAGUAUCUGCCUUGACUCCUCUCUUUCCUUUACUGGAAUCUCUGGUUCUUUUCUUCCUGGUCACCCUGGGCCCUCUGGGAUAUUCACGAACUGCGAGGACUCUAAACUUCCCCCGAGCUGCUUAAGCCCCACCCAGCAGGAAUGGGGGGCAGCAACCAGCAU